This 72-nucleotide transfer RNA is filed under the name Camelus bactrianus (Bactrian camel). It matches the Rfam family "tRNA". From Rfam's summary of the family: Transfer RNA (tRNA) molecules are approximately 80 nucleotides in length. RNAcentral also lists the same sequence under 2 other names. The record is from Rfam by way of RNAcentral. Lineage: Eukaryota; Metazoa; Chordata; Mammalia; Artiodactyla; Camelidae.
UGGGGUAUAGCUCAGUGGUAGAGCCUGUGCUUAGCAUGUGCGAGGUCCUGGGUUCAACCCCUAGUAUCUCCA